UGUGCCUACAAUCCGUCAAAGCCCUCUCUUGUAGUGGGGUGAUGGCGUGCCUUUUGAAGAAUGAGCCUGCGAGUCAGGGACAUGUCGCGAGGUUAACCCGUGAGGGGUAGCCGCAGCGAAAGCGAGUCUGAAUAGGGCGUAUCCAACCUGUUGGGGUUGGUGUAGUGGUGUGUUCUGGACCCGAAGCGGGGUGAUCUACCCAUGGCCAGGGUGAAGCGCGGGUAAGACCGCGUGGAGG
Molecule: ribosomal RNA, 238 nt
Filed under: Mycolicibacterium phlei DSM 43239 = CCUG 21000
Lineage: Bacteria; Bacillati; Actinomycetota; Actinomycetes; Mycobacteriales; Mycobacteriaceae
Description: partial 23S ribosomal RNA
Rfam family: Bacterial large subunit ribosomal RNA
Source: RNAcentral